This 301-nucleotide ribosomal RNA is filed under the name uncultured bacterium. Its description in RNAcentral is "partial 16S ribosomal RNA". It matches the Rfam family "Bacterial small subunit ribosomal RNA", at positions 509 to 807 of the family's 1533-position model. The record is from RNAcentral.
CAGUAGCCGCGGGAAAACGAAGGGGGCUAGCGUUGCUCGGAAUUACUGGGCGUAAAGGGCGCGUAGGCGGACAGUUCAGUCGGGGGUGAAAGCCCGGGGCUCAACCUCGGAAUUGCCUUCGAUACUGGCUGUCUUGAGUAUGAGAGAGGUGUGUGGAACUCCGAGUGUAGAGGUGAAAUUCGUAGAUAUUCGGAAGAACACCAGUGGCGAAGGCGACACACUGGCUCAUUACUGACGCUGAGGCGCGAAAGCGUGGGGAGCAAACAGGAUUAGAUACCCGCGUAGUCCCUGUCUCUUAUAC